This 592-nucleotide ribosomal RNA is filed under the name Clostridioides difficile. RNAcentral describes it as "partial 23S ribosomal RNA". It matches the Rfam family "Bacterial large subunit ribosomal RNA", at positions 1 to 598 of the family's 2925-position model. Lineage: Bacteria; Bacillati; Bacillota; Clostridia; Peptostreptococcales; Peptostreptococcaceae. The record is from RNAcentral.
GGUCAAGUUAUUAAGGGUGCAGGGCGGAUGCCUUGGCACUAGGAGCCGAUGAAGGACGUGAUAAGCUGCGAUAAGCUUCGGGGAGUUGCACGUAAACUUUGAUCCGAAGAUUUCCGAAUGAGGAAACUCACUUAGAGUAAUGUCUAAGUAUCAUUAAGUGAAUACAUAGCUUAAUGAGGGGAACUCAGGGAACUGAAACAUCUAAGUACCUGAAGGAAGAGAAAGAAAUUCGAUUCCGUAAGUAGCGGCGAGCGAACGCGGAUUAGCCCAAACCAAUAAAGUUUUCUUUAUUGGGGUUGCGGACAUAUCAUAACGAAGAGGUAUCGUAAUUGAAGAGGUUUGGAAAGACCCACCACAGAAGGUAAUAGUCCUGUAUGUUAAACGAGAAGACUUUAGAUAUGAUCCAGAGUACCACGGGACACGUGAAACCCUGUGGGAAGCAGGAGGGACCACCCUCCAAGGCUAAAUACUACCUAGUGACCGAUAGCGUAUAGUACCGUGAGGGAAAGGUGAAAAGAACCCCGGGAGGGGAGUGAAAUAGAACCUGAAACCCUGCACUUACAAGCUGUGGAAGCACAUUUCUUGUGUGACC